UAGGGCUAUGGUUUGGAGAUGGUUUGAGUGUGUCCCCAAAGGCCCAGGUGCUACUGGAACUGGUCCCCAGUGUGGUGUAUUGAGGCUGUGGACCUUUAAGAGGCGGGGCCUAGUAUGUGGUGAUCUGUUCCCAGGCACCACCCUUGGAAAAGAUUGAUGUCAAUCUCAAAGGAGUGAGCAAGGUCUCGAGGAACUGGAUGAGUCACUUUGAGAAUGGGGUGUUAUAAAAGAGAGGCCACCCAGGUCUUUGGUCUCUUCCACAGGUACUCACAAUGUGGUCACCUUCUGAUGCCCUCUGCCAGGCUGUGAUGCAACAUGAGGCCGUCGCCAGACAUAGCUGCCUGAACUUGGACUUUUCAGCCCCCAACACAGUGAGCCCAAACAAACCUCUUUCCUUUAUAAAGCACCUGCUCUCAGGAACACAGUUCUUUGUAAGAUGACUGCUGAGUUUCAGCGUCCACCACCAUCAAGAGAACAGGCUCUGGCCUCGGGGAAACAUGCCCAUCUCCUGAAGCUAUGCUCACAGUGUCCUUCAGAGAGGGAACAACACAGACUUCUUGUGCUCAGGAACUAGACAGCUCUUCUGUAUUACACGUUGGGACCAUAAUAACCAGCAAGAUGGCCCAAGAAAAGCACCAAGCAAUGCAAAACCAUGUCACUGAAAAGACUAUGAAAAGGACACUUGUUUAUAGAAGGAGCUGGAACACCCUGUUGGAACGUGGCCUUGUUCACCCUCAAGCACAGGAGCAUGCACAUUGGUGACUCAUUAUUUUUCCCACUGUGCACAUCCACAAAAGCACCGUGAGUACUUUUUUGGGGGUGAUCAUAAAUUGUAGUGAGUAGGUGAAUUCACAAAUACAGAACCCUGAAAAAUGAGGAUCAACUGGGUAUCAUUUUAUGCAAGAAUGCAAACGGUGACUCAAGAUACCCAUGUGGAGAAAUUUCUAGAAUAUUCCCCAGGGGCCUUGAUGGUCACAAACAGACUAUGCAGGAAAGUACAGAAUUGUGUAAAAAUCAGUACAAGGAUGAAUCAAUUUCUUAUGCACAAAUAUUUGGAACAUGGUUAUCUGAGCUCAUCUCAGCUCCUGAGAAUCACAUCUCCCUGUAUCUGGUUGGCUGUCUAACAAAACAUCUGCCACCUUCAAAUCUUGGGUUGAUAUGUGAAGAUACCCCAAAUCAGUCCCUGCCAUGAGGAAAAUCUGUUUAUUUGUUGUUAUAGCUGUUAGUAUCUGCCACACACAAGUCACACAGUUGACACAGUGUGACUCACGCAGUGUAGACAAAGCAACAUGGCAGAGUGAAUUCAGUCUUUGCAACUAAAGGCCCUGGAGGUCCAGUGCUCAUUGGCCUUCUGGCCUGAGGCAAACCACUCUCCAUCUUGUCAUCCACCCGAGGGAUGUAGCUUCAGCUUUAUUUGGUACGCUCUGCUUUUAGGGAAAAAUAAAUAAAUAAAGGCCUUGGUUAAUUUUGAGAGGCAUUGCAUUUUUCCAUAAUUUUAACAUGUAAGAAAAUAUGGUUGCUAUGACGAAUAAACAAGGCCAUAUACAUCACCAAGCCUGGUGCUGGGCUCCUAGUUUGCAUAACCUGGCCAAAUGCCACUCAAGUGCAAGACUGUGAGCCAAGGUAAAUCUUUCAUCUUUAUAAG
Long non-coding RNA from Marmota monax (woodchuck), 1645 nucleotides. RefSeq lists it as uncharacterized. The transcript has 3 exons. Lineage: Eukaryota; Metazoa; Chordata; Mammalia; Rodentia; Sciuridae. The record is from RefSeq and is a predicted model, not a curated record.